GCGGCGGCUCCGGCGGUUG
Molecule: small nuclear RNA, 19 nt
Filed under: Arabidopsis thaliana (thale cress)
Lineage: Eukaryota; Viridiplantae; Streptophyta; Magnoliopsida; Brassicales; Brassicaceae
Description: snRNA_17928
Source: RNAcentral